Molecule: ribosomal RNA, 467 nt
Filed under: uncultured bacterium
Lineage: Bacteria
Description: partial 16S ribosomal RNA
Rfam family: Bacterial small subunit ribosomal RNA
Source: RNAcentral
GACGAACGCUGGCGGCGUGCUUAACACAUGCAAGUCGAACGGAAAAGCCCUGCUUUUGUGGGGUGCUCGAGUGCGAACGGGGGAGUAACACGUGAGUAACCUGCCCUUGACUUUGGGAUAACUUCAGGAAACUGGGGCUAAUACCGGAUAGGAGCUCCUGCUGCAUGGGGGGGGUUGGAAAGUUUCGGCGGUUGGGGAUGGACUCGCGGCUUAUCAGCUUGUUGGUGGGGUAGUGGCUUACCAAGGCUUUGACGGGUAGCCGGCCUGAGAGGGUGACCGGCCACAUUGGGACUGAGAUACGGCCCAGACUCCUACGGGAGGCAGCAGUGGGGAAUAUUGCACAAUGGGCGGAAGCCUGAUGCAGCAACGCCGCGUGCGGGAUGACGGCCUUCGGGUUGUAAACCGCUUUCGCCUGUGACGAAGCGUGAGUGACGGUAAUGGGUAAAGAAGCACCGGCUAACUACGUG